This 1107-nucleotide long non-coding RNA is filed under the name Felis catus (domestic cat). RNAcentral's name for it is "lncRNA (ENSFCAG00000051864.1)". The record is from RNAcentral. Lineage: Eukaryota; Metazoa; Chordata; Mammalia; Carnivora; Felidae.
GGGCAACACAGGCACAUUCUCUCGGUGUCUCUGUCUCUAUCUCUAUCUCUCAUCUUCAACUCUUCCUCACCCAGCGAGAGGCGGGUGUCCAGCAAAUUGCUUGGCAAUACACAGAGGAAACUCCAUCCAAAGCCCGGGUCUGCUGGGUCCAGGCCGCCUCUGGGCGCUGUCCAGCGGGCAGCGCGCCUGAGUGACCAGGCUGGGGUCCUGUCUCCGACACCCCGAAGGUGGGGCGGAACGCCAAGGCCGGGAUUUCGAGCGGUGGGGGGGAGGGGUGGGAAAGGCACCGUCCCCAGGGACACCUGUUGUCGCCUUGGGCCAACGAAGACGUCGCGGGGACUCACAUCUCAGGGAGGACACCCGUCUGCAGUGUCCGCGUACGGGAGCGGGGGUCGCAAGUAUCUUCCCCCACCCCCACCGCCCCUUCUCCGCCUUAGGGGGGCUCACCUCACCCCCUCCCACCCCUGGACGCCGGCAGCCAGUGGAAAUGUCGCGCCUCCGCGGGGCUCCGGCCGAGGCACGCGCGGAGGCGUGGGGACACACGGGGCGAGGGGCAGCCCCCGCGGCGCUAGGACCUCGCGGCCGGCCCGCCCCCACCCCCACCCCUCGCCGGCUCCACCUGCGGAGCCCCUCCGGCAGGGCACGCUGGCCCUCCACCGCGGGGCGCGGGCGCGGUUACCUGCGACGCCCCCCUCAGGGUCCCAAGUGUCGGCCGGAACGUCGCCACGGCAGAGCCCGCUGGGCUGGCCCGGGGAUCCUCGCCCAGCCCCACUGCUCCCGCUGCCCUCCCUCGCGGCUGCAGCGCCGCCGCCGGCUCCCGACUCUCUAGGCUCUCUCCGCGCCCGCCGGCUCCUGGCCCCUCUCCCGCAGCUCCUGAUUGGCCGCGGCGCGCGCCCGAGCCGCGCCCUGAUUGGGCAGCCGGGAGCCGGGGCGGGGGGACGGACCCGGCGCCGCCUGGACCUGCUCUGGGUGCCCCCGGCGCCACUGCUUCGCGUUCCCGCAGCACCUCGCGGCCGCGAUCCAGGCGCCGAACCCGGGAUCCUGCCCUCUGCGCCGAGUGGUGUCGGUUGUCCAGGCACCGGGCGGAGCGGAAAGUGGCACGAGUAG